RNAcentral lists this ribosomal RNA (422 nucleotides) under uncultured prokaryote. RNAcentral's name for it is "bacterial SSU rRNA". It matches the Rfam family "Bacterial small subunit ribosomal RNA", at positions 338 to 774 of the family's 1533-position model. The record is from RNAcentral.
CCUACGGGAGGCUGCAAUUAGGAAUCUUGCGCAAUGGGCGAAAGCCUGACGCAGCGACGCCGCGUGACUGAUGAAGUCUUUCGGGAUGUAAAGGUCUUUUGCAGGGGACGAAGGAAGUGACGGUACCCUGCGAAUAAGCUCCGGCUAACUACGUGCCAGCAGCCGCGGUAAUACGUAGGGAGCGAGCGUUGUCCGAAUUUACUGGGCGUACAGCGCGCGUAGGCGGGUUAUUAAGUUGGGGGUGAAAUGCCGAGGCUUAACCUCGGAACUGCCUCCAAAACUGGUAGCCUUGAGGUAUGGAGAGGGAAGUGGAAUUCCAGGUGUAGCGGUGAAAUGCGUAGAUAUCUGGAGGAGCACCCGUGGCGAAGGCGGCUUCCUGGCUAUAUCCUGACGCUGAGGUGCGAAAGCUAGGGGAGCGAACG